Molecule: transfer RNA, 62 nt
Filed under: Pachyphlegyas modiglianii
Lineage: Eukaryota; Metazoa; Arthropoda; Insecta; Hemiptera; Pachygronthidae
Description: tRNA-Thr
Rfam family: tRNA
About the family: Transfer RNA (tRNA) molecules are approximately 80 nucleotides in length. Their secondary structure includes four short double-helical elements and three loops (D, anti-codon, and T loops). Further hydrogen bonds mediate the characteristic L-shaped molecular structure. tRNAs have two regions of fundamental functional importance: the anti-codon, which is responsible for specific mRNA codon recognition, and the 3' end, to which the tRNAs corresponding amino acid is attached (by aminoacyl-tRNA synthetases). tRNAs cope with the degeneracy of the genetic code in two manners: having more than one tRNA (with a specific anti-codon) for a particular amino acid; and 'wobble' base-pairing, i.e. permitting non-standard base-pairing at the 3rd anti-codon position.
Source: RNAcentral
GUUUUAAUAGUUUAAUAAAAACAAUGAUUUUGUAAAUCAUAGAUAGGAUAGCCUUUAAAACU